CGGAGGAAAAGAAACCAACAGGGAUUGCCCUAGUAACGGCGAGUGAAGCGGCAACAGCUCAAAUUUGAAAUCUGGCCCUCGGGUCCGAGUUGUAAUUUGUAGAGGAUGCUUUUGGUGCGGUGCCUUCCGAGUUCCCUGGAACGGGACGCCAUAGAGGGUGAGAGCCCCGUCUGGUUGGACACCAAUCCUCUGUAAAGCUCCUUCGACGAGUCGAGUAGUUUGGGAAUGCUGCUCUAAAUGGGAGGUAUAUGUCUUCUAAAGCUAAAUACCGGCCAGAGACCGAUAGCGCACAAGUAGAGUGAUCGAAAGAUGAAAAGCACUUUGAAAAGAGAGUUAAAAAGUACGUGAAAUUGUUGAAAGGGAAGCGCUUAUGACCAGACUUGGGCUUGGUAGAUCAACCUGGGUUCUCCCUGGUGCACUCUUCCUCGUCCAGGCCAGCAUCAGUUCGCUGCGGGGGAUAAAGGUUUCGGGAAUGUGGCUCCCUCGGGAGUGUUAUAGCCCGUUGCGUAAUACCCUGCGGUGGACUGAGGUUCGCGUUCUGCAAGGAUGCUGGCGUAAUGGUCAUCAGCGACCCGUCUUGAAACACGGACCAAGGAGUCGUCUUCGUAUGCGAGUGUUCGGGUGUUAAACCCCUACGCGUAAUGAAAGUGAACGCAGGUGAGAGCUUCGGCGCAUCAUCGACCGAUCCUGAUGUUCUCGGAUGGAUUUGAGUAAGAGCAUACGGGGCCGGACCCGAAAGAAGGUGAACUAUGCCUGUAUAGGGUGAAGCCAGAGGAAACUCUGGUGGAGGCUCGCAGCGGUUCUGACGUGCAAAUCGAUCGUCAAAUAUGGGCAUGGGGGCGAAAGACUAAUCGAACCUUCUAGU
This 865-nucleotide ribosomal RNA is filed under the name Mariannaea humicola. RNAcentral's name for it is "partial large subunit ribosomal RNA". It matches the Rfam family "Eukaryotic large subunit ribosomal RNA", at positions 51 to 948 of the family's 3401-position model. The record is from RNAcentral. Lineage: Eukaryota; Fungi; Ascomycota; Sordariomycetes; Hypocreales; Nectriaceae.